Molecule: non-coding RNA, 449 nt
Organism: Nelumbo nucifera (sacred lotus)
Lineage: Eukaryota; Viridiplantae; Streptophyta; Magnoliopsida; Proteales; Nelumbonaceae
Source: RefSeq, a predicted model, not a curated record
UGUUCUAUUCGAAACCCUCUUCUGCUCUUCGUCUUUACGGUCUGCUCUCCCUCUCCCUCUCCCUCUCCCGCUCUUUGUCUUUCCUCUCACUCUCAGUCUCACUACGCUGACCCCCGAAGUCGCCAUUCGCAACACUGGCCAUCGUAGUGGCUUAGCCCUAUUAAUCGAGCCCUAUCUCAGCCUCUCUCAUUCUCAUUUCUCACUUAGCACUACCACCGCUGUUCAUUGAUCUGGCCACCCAUUCAUAGCCCUCGACCGCUCCGACCACCCAUUCGGCAUUGUCUAAGCAAUUGUCUUGUCGUUUACUCACUGUUAAGGACUGGAGUUCGGCAGCUGAUAGCGAUUCCAGGUCUACCAACGUUUGGUUUAGAACAGGAAGAUCGAUUCCAGACGUGAUUUGCUCAACAUUUCGCCUACUCUAACCGAGGCUGCUGGUGCCAUUGUUGAUG